RNAcentral lists this ribosomal RNA (292 nucleotides) under uncultured bacterium. RNAcentral's name for it is "partial 16S ribosomal RNA". It matches the Rfam family "Bacterial small subunit ribosomal RNA", at positions 505 to 796 of the family's 1533-position model. The record is from RNAcentral.
GUGCCAGCCGCCGCGGUAAUACGGAGGGUCCAAGCGUUGUCCGGAAUCACUGGGCGUAAAGGGUGUGCAGGUGGGGCAGCAAGUCAGAGGUGAAAGCCCGCGGCUUAACCGCGGACGUGCCUUUGAAACUGCUGCUCUUGAGUCCCGGAGAGGUUGCCGGAAUUCGUGGUGUAGCGGUGAAAUGCGUAGAUAUCACGAGGAACACCAGAGGCGAAAGCGGGCAACUGGACGGGUACUGACGCUCAGGCACGAAAGCGCGGGGAGCAAACAGGAUUAGAAACCCCAGUAGUCC